RNAcentral lists this ribosomal RNA (475 nucleotides) under uncultured Bradyrhizobium sp. RNAcentral's name for it is "bacterial SSU rRNA". It matches the Rfam family "Bacterial small subunit ribosomal RNA", at positions 1 to 526 of the family's 1533-position model. The record is from RNAcentral. Lineage: Bacteria; Pseudomonadati; Pseudomonadota; Alphaproteobacteria; Hyphomicrobiales; Nitrobacteraceae.
UAGAGUUUGAUCAUGGCUCAGAGCGAACGCUGGCGGCAGGCUUAACACAUGCAAGUCGAGCGCCCGUAGCAAUACGGGAGCGGCAGACGGGAGAGUAACACGUGGGAACGCGCCCUUUGGUUYGGAAUAACUCAGGGAAACUUGAGCUAAUACCGGAUAAGCCCUUACGGGGAAAGAUUUAUCGCCAAAGGAACGGCCCGCGUCGGAUUAGCUAGUUGGUGAGGUAAUGGCUCACCAAGGCGACGAUCCGUAGCUGGUCUGAGAGGAUGACCAGCCUCACUGGGACUGAGACACGGCCCAGACUCCUACGGGAGGCAGCAGUGGGGAAUAUUGGACAGUGGGCGCAAGCCUGAUCCAGCCAUGCCGCGUGGAUGAUGAAGGCCUUAGGGUUGUAAAGUCCUUUUAACGGGGAAGAUAAUGACGGUACCCGUAGAAUAAGCCCCGGCUAACUUCGUGCCAGCAGCCGCGGUAAUAC